This 474-nucleotide ribosomal RNA is filed under the name uncultured bacterium. RNAcentral describes it as "bacterial SSU rRNA". It matches the Rfam family "Bacterial small subunit ribosomal RNA", at positions 335 to 801 of the family's 1533-position model. The record is from RNAcentral.
ACUCCUACGGGAGGCAGCAGUAGGGAAUCUUCCACAAUGGGCGCAAGCCUGAUGGAGCAACACCGCGUGAGUGAAGAAGGGUUUCGGCUCGUAAAGCUCUGUUGUUAAAGAAGAACACGUAUGAGAGUAACUGUACAUACGUUGACGGUAUUUAACCAGAAAGUCACGGCUAACUACGUGCCAGCAGCCGCGGUAAUACGUAGGUGGCAAGCGUUAUCCGGAUUUAUUGGGCGUAAAGAGAGUGCAGGCGGUUUUCUAAGUCUGAUGUGAAAGCCUUCGGCUUAACCGGAGAAGUGCAUCGGAAACUGGAUAACUUGAGUGCAGAAGAGGGUAGUGGAACUCCAUGUGUAGCGGCGGAAUGCGUAGAUAUAUGGAAGAACACCAGUGGCGAAGGCGGCUACCUGGUCUGCAACUGACGCUGAGACUCGAAAGCAUGGGGUAGCGAACAGGAUUAGAUACCCUGGUAGGAUAGCG